CUCCGCCAGGGCCGCCUGCAGCUCUGCCUGCGUCGCGUUGCCUAAGAAGGGGUCGGAGGUUUACGUCACUUAGCAUCGCGGUCUCAAGAUGCCUUCCAGAAACAGUGUUUGGUGGGACCUGAACUCAGUCCUUGUUGGUCAGAAGGGAAACAGGCAAUGGUUGAGGUGGCUAACUGAGCCACUGGAUUCCACUACUGGAUGGUGGGUAGAUGGGAUCAGAACUGGAAGAGUCCUACCAAAUCAAAGAAAGAAGAUUCAAAAAAAAUGGCUGCUGUGCACUGGGGUGCUGGAGGAUCAUGUGGCAGCUGAAGGUCAAU
Octodon degus (degu) is the source of this 317-nucleotide long non-coding RNA. RefSeq lists it as uncharacterized. The record is from RefSeq and is a predicted model, not a curated record. The transcript has 3 exons. Lineage: Eukaryota; Metazoa; Chordata; Mammalia; Rodentia; Octodontidae.